UUUGCAUUACAUUAUAUCUGGUCCUCCAGAGACGGCUGGCAGGCAACAGGCUGGAAUGUCAGAGACCGCUUUGUGCUUGGGAUCCUGAUGCGAACGCCACU
Long non-coding RNA from Pipistrellus kuhlii (Kuhl's pipistrelle), 101 nucleotides. RefSeq lists it as uncharacterized. The transcript has 3 exons. NCBI's taxonomy places the organism in Eukaryota, Metazoa, Chordata, Mammalia, Chiroptera, Vespertilionidae. The record is from RefSeq and is a predicted model, not a curated record.